This 394-nucleotide ribosomal RNA is filed under the name uncultured bacterium. RNAcentral describes it as "bacterial SSU rRNA". It matches the Rfam family "Bacterial small subunit ribosomal RNA", at positions 30 to 424 of the family's 1533-position model. The record is from RNAcentral.
AUUGAACGCUGGCGGCAUGCCUUACACAUGCAAGUCGAACGGCAGCACGGAAGCAAUCCUGGUGGCGAGUGGCGAACGGGUGAGUAAUAUAUCGGAACGUGCCCGGUCGUGGGGAUAACGUAGCGAAAGCUACGCUAAUACCGCAUACGAUCUACGGAUGAAAGCGGGGGAUCGCAAGACCUCGCGCGAUUGGAGCGGCCGAUAUCAGAUUGGGUAGUUGGUGAGGUAAAGGCUCACCAAGCCGACGAUCUGUAGCUGGUCUGAGAGGACGACCAGCCACACUGGGACUGAGACACGGCCCAGACUCCUACGGGAGGCAGGCAGUGGGGAAUUUUGGACAAUGGGCGCAAGCCUGAUCCAGCAAUGCCGCGUGCAGGAUGAAGGCCUUCGGGUU